RNAcentral lists this ribosomal RNA (254 nucleotides) under uncultured bacterium. RNAcentral describes it as "partial 16S ribosomal RNA". It matches the Rfam family "Bacterial small subunit ribosomal RNA", at positions 524 to 776 of the family's 1533-position model. The record is from RNAcentral.
UACGGGGGGAGCAAGCGUUGUUCGGAUUUACUGGGCGUAAGGGGCGCGUAGGCGGCCAGCACAAGUCAGUUGUGAAAUCUCCGAGCUUAACUCGGAAAGGUCAACUGAUACUGUGCGGCUAGAGUGCAGAAGGGGCAACUGGAAUUCUUGGUGUAGCGGUGAAAUGCGUAGAUAUCAAGAGGAACACCUGCGGCGAAGGCGGGUUGCUGGGCUGACACUGACGCUGAGGCGCGAAAGCUAGGGGAGCGAACGGG